This 492-nucleotide ribosomal RNA is filed under the name uncultured bacterium. RNAcentral's name for it is "partial 16S ribosomal RNA". It matches the Rfam family "Bacterial small subunit ribosomal RNA", at positions 28 to 507 of the family's 1533-position model. The record is from RNAcentral.
GAUGAACGCUAGCUAUAGGCUUAACACAUGCAAGUCGAGGGGAAACGGCAUUUUGUGCUUGCACAUUUUGGACGUCGACCGGCGCACGGGUGAGUAUCGCGUAUCCAACCUGCCCUUUACUUGGGGAUACCCCGUUGAAAGACGGCCUAAUACCCGAUGUAAUUCAUUGAUGGCAUCAGAUAUGAAUAAAAGAUUUAUCGGUAAAGGAUGGGGAUGCGUCUGAUUAGCUUGUUGGUGAGGUAACGGCUCACCAAGGCGACGAUCAGUAGGGGUUCUGAGAGGAAGGUCCCCCACAUUGGAACUGAGACACGGUCCAAACUCCUACGGGAGGCAGCAGUGAGGAAUAUUGGUCAAUGGGCGCAAGCCUGAACCAGCCAAGUAGCGUGCAGGAAGACGGCCCUAUGGGUUGUAAACUGCUUUUAUACGAGAAUAAUUUGAUGCACGUGUGCGUUAUUGCAUGUAUCGUAUGAAUAAGGACCGGCUAAUUCCGUG